RNAcentral lists this transfer RNA (75 nucleotides) under Hyphomicrobiales bacterium. RNAcentral's name for it is "tRNA-Gly". It matches the Rfam family "tRNA". From Rfam's summary of the family: Transfer RNA (tRNA) molecules are approximately 80 nucleotides in length. Their secondary structure includes four short double-helical elements and three loops (D, anti-codon, and T loops). The record is from RNAcentral. Lineage: Bacteria; Pseudomonadati; Pseudomonadota; Alphaproteobacteria; Hyphomicrobiales.
GCGGGCGUAGUUCAGUGGUAGAACUCUUGCUUCCCAAGCAAGAUGUCGUGGGUUCGAGUCCCAUCGCCCGCUCCA